This 497-nucleotide ribosomal RNA is filed under the name uncultured bacterium. RNAcentral's name for it is "partial 16S ribosomal RNA". It matches the Rfam family "Bacterial small subunit ribosomal RNA", at positions 28 to 507 of the family's 1533-position model. The record is from RNAcentral.
GACGAACGCUGGCGGCGUGCCUAAUACAUGCAAGUUGAGCGCUGAAGGUUGGUACUUGUACCAACUGGAUGAGCAGCGAACGGGUGAGUAACGCGUGGGGAAUCUGCCUUUGAGCGGGGGACAACAUUUGGAAACGAAUGCUAAUACCGCAUAAAAACUUUAAACACAAGUUUUAAGUUUGAAAGAUGCAAUUGCAUCACUCAAAGAUGAUCCCGCGUUGUAUUAGCUAGUUGGUGAGGUAAAGGCUCACCAAGGCGAUGAUACAUAGCCGACCUGAGAGGGUUAUCGGCCACAUUGGGACUGAGACACGGCCCAAACUCCUACGGGAGGCAGCAGUAGGGAAUCUUCGGCAAUGGACGAAAGUCUGACCGAGCAACGCCGCGUGAGUGAAGAAGGUUUUCGGAUCGUAAAACUCUGUUGGUAGAGAAGAACGUUGGUGAGAGUGGAAAGCCCAUCAAGUGACGGUAACUACCCAGAAAGGGACGGCUAACUACGUG